This 78-nucleotide small RNA is filed under the name Flavobacterium fluvii. Its description in RNAcentral is "Flavobacterium sp. H7 Flavo-1 RNA". It matches the Rfam family "Flavo-1 RNA". The record is from Rfam by way of RNAcentral. Lineage: Bacteria; Pseudomonadati; Bacteroidota; Flavobacteriia; Flavobacteriales; Flavobacteriaceae.
CUCAAGCCCAGAUAGUAGUGGAAAUCCUUUUCUUUUUUCUUUAAAAAGAAAAGAUUGCAACGUAUAGCUGGAAAAAGC